This 441-nucleotide ribosomal RNA is filed under the name uncultured bacterium. Its description in RNAcentral is "partial 16S ribosomal RNA". It matches the Rfam family "Bacterial small subunit ribosomal RNA", at positions 338 to 795 of the family's 1533-position model. The record is from RNAcentral.
CCUACGGGCGGCAGCAGUGGGUGAUAUUGCACAAUGGGGGGAACCCUGAUGCAGCGACGCCGCGUGGGUGAAGGAGUGCUUCGGCAUGUAAAGCCCUAUCGGCAGGGAAGAAGCAAGACGGUACCUGACUAAGAAGCCCCGGCUAACGACGUGCCAGCAGCCGCGGUAAUACGGAGGGGGCGAGCGUUAUCCGGACUCACUGGGGGUAAAGGGAGCGUAGACGGCCAUGCAAGCCAGGGGUGAAAGCCCUGGGCCCAACCCCGGGACUGCCCUUGGAACUGUGCGGCUAGAGUGCGGGAGGGGCAGGCGGAAUUCCUGGUGGAGCGGUGAAAUGCGUAGAUAUCAGGAGGAACACCGGCGGCGAAGGCGGCCUGCUGGACCGCGACUGACGUUGAGGCUCGAAAGCGUGGGGAGCGAACAGGAUUAGAUACCCGUGUAGUC